ACUGGGCAUGGUGGCGCAUGCCUAUAGUCCCAGUGGCUCGGGAGGCUGAGGCAGGAGGAUUGCAAGUUCCAGGACAGCCUUAAUAACUUAGCAAGGCCCUAAGCAACUUAGCGAGAUCUUGUCUCAA
This 127-nucleotide small RNA is filed under the name Marmota monax (woodchuck). Lineage: Eukaryota; Metazoa; Chordata; Mammalia; Rodentia; Sciuridae. The record is from RNAcentral.